This 479-nucleotide ribosomal RNA is filed under the name uncultured bacterium. RNAcentral describes it as "partial 16S ribosomal RNA". It matches the Rfam family "Bacterial small subunit ribosomal RNA", at positions 28 to 507 of the family's 1533-position model. The record is from RNAcentral.
GACGAACGCUGGCGGCGUGCUUAACACAUGCAAGUCGAACGAAGCUUGAUUACGGAUUCUUCGGAUGAAGUAGGAUAUGACUGAGUGGCGGACGGGGGAGUAACGCCUGAGUAACCUGCCCUUCCGAGGGGGAUAGCGUUUUGAAACGAACGGUAAUACUGCACAAUGUAUUUUGACCGCAUGAUCGAAAUACCAUAGCGUUAUCGCAGAAGGAUGGACUCGCGUCUGAUUAGGUAGAUGGAGAGGUAACGGCCUACCAAGAGGACGAUCAGUAGCCGGAGAGAGGGGAUGAGCGGCCGAAUCGGGAGGGAGACACCGGCCAGGAAUCUUCGGGAGUGAGCGGAGGGGUAAAGUGCACAAGAGGCGCAAGUCUGAUGCAGCUACGCCGCGUGAAGGAAGACGGUUUGCGGAUAGUAAACUUCUGUUUUUAGGGAAGAAUAAUGACGGUAGCUAAGGAGAAAGCCACGGCUAACUACGUG